This 492-nucleotide ribosomal RNA is filed under the name uncultured bacterium. Its description in RNAcentral is "partial 16S ribosomal RNA". It matches the Rfam family "Bacterial small subunit ribosomal RNA", at positions 29 to 507 of the family's 1533-position model. The record is from RNAcentral.
AGUGAACGCUGGCGGUAGGCCUAACACAUGCAAGUCGAACGGCAGCACAGUAAGAGCUUGCUCUUACGGUUGGCGAGUGGCGGACGGGUGAGGAAUACAUCGGAAUCUACUUUUUCGUGGGGGAUAACGUAGGGAAACUUACGCUAAUACCGCAUACGACCUACGGGUGAAUGCAGGGGAUCUUCGGACCUUGCGCGAUUGAUUGAGCCGAUGUCGGAUUAGCUAGUUGGCGGGGUAAGGGCCCACCAAGGCGACGAUCCGUAGCUGGUCUGAGAGGAUGAUCAGCCACACUGGAACUGAGACACGGUCCAGACUCCUACGGGAGGCAGCAGUGGGGAAUAUUGGACAAUGGGCGAAAGCCUGAUCGAGCAAUACCGCGUGGGUGAAGAAGGCCUUCGGGUUGUAAAGCCCUUUUGUUGGGAAAGAAAAGCAGCAGGUGAAUACCCCGAUGUUCUGACGGUACCCAAAGAAUAAGCACCGGCUAACUACGUG